RNAcentral lists this ribosomal RNA (471 nucleotides) under uncultured bacterium. RNAcentral describes it as "bacterial SSU rRNA". It matches the Rfam family "Bacterial small subunit ribosomal RNA", at positions 329 to 793 of the family's 1533-position model. The record is from RNAcentral.
GCAGAGCAUCCUACGGGAGGCAGCAGUGGGGAAUAUUGCACAAUGGGCGCAAGCCUGAUGCAGCCAUGCCGCGUGUAUGAAGAAGGCCUUCGGGUUGUAAAGUACUUUCAGCAGUGAGGAAAGUGGGUAUGUUAAUAGCAUAUUCAUUUGACGUUAGCUGCAGAAGAAGCACCGGCUAACUCCGUGCCAGCAGCCGCGGUAAUACGGAGGGUGCGAGCGUUAAUCGGAAUUACUGGGCGUAAAGCGCAUGCAGGUGGUUUGUUAAGUCAGAUGUGAAAGCCCGGGGCUCAACCUCGGAAUUGCAUUUGAAACUGGCAAACUAGAGUACUGUAGAGGGGGUAGAAUUUCAGGUGUAGCGGUGAAAUGCGUAGAGAUCUGAAGGAAUACCGGUGGCGAAGGCGGCCCCCUGGACAGAUACUGACACUCAGAUGCGAAAGCGUGGGGAGCAAACAGGAUUAGAUACCCUGGUAG